Molecule: non-coding RNA, 93 nt
Organism: Podarcis lilfordi (Lilford's wall lizard)
Lineage: Eukaryota; Metazoa; Chordata; Lepidosauria; Squamata; Lacertidae
Source: the annotation of a GenBank genome assembly
CCUUCUUGAACUGUGGUGCCCAGAACUGGACACAGUACUCCAGGUGAGGUCUGGAGUACUGUGUCCAGUUCUGGGCACCACAGUUCAAGAAGG